This is a long non-coding RNA of Oryzias melastigma (Indian medaka), 746 nucleotides long. RefSeq lists it as uncharacterized. The record is from RefSeq and is a predicted model, not a curated record. Lineage: Eukaryota; Metazoa; Chordata; Actinopteri; Beloniformes; Adrianichthyidae. The transcript is spliced from 2 exons.
AGAUAACAUCAGGUCAUUAAUAACAAUAAAAUAAAAUCAUCAAAGUCACGACCCGGAGGGCCGGAUCCGUGACUUUGACAUGUGCUGUAAAUAAAUUAAACUGACCAGAGCUACAAACUCUUCAAUGAAGAUGCAGUGAAAUGGUUAUACUUUUUUUGUCCAACCGUAAACUAACAUUAAUCUGUCAGCUGUUAAAUCUAAAGCGUGGUAAGAACAAAAGAUUCAGAAGCUUUUCAGAAACCAAUUUGUCAGUCAGUGGGAGCAGCAGAACAGCCUGUUUGGCUGGAAUGAUAAAGAUUUUAAAAAAGAAAGUCUUGCAUCACUUCUUCUGUUUGUUCCUGUCACAGAGUGAGUCAGGAAAAACUGUCUGCAGCAGUUAUCCAAACUCGCCUGUGUUUAAUCAGCCAGUGGCAGAAGCUGGACUGCACAUGUGCAGAGAAGACUUCUGGACCACCAUGGCUUCCUGUCCCCAUCUCCAUCAGGAGAGUCGACUGACUCCUGCAGGCAGAAACUGAGACCAACGGAAAUGAUCCAUCGCAAACAUUCCUGUUCCACAGUGCAUUUCACUUCUUUAUCUGCAGUUUCCCUCCGGCCUAUCUGGAGUUUGACAGUCAACUUGGACUCAAGCUUCUGAAAGCAUCUUAAAGCAGGGACAGAAGAAAAGACUCGUCUGUGCAGCAGAGAUUUGUCUUGGACACACGUUGGCAUCCUCGUUUUGGUGUAAAUACAGCUUUAAGAAAACCAAA